UGACCUCAAAUCGGGUGAGACUACCCGCUGAACUUAAGCAUACA
RNAcentral lists this ribosomal RNA (44 nucleotides) under fungal sp. MR44. RNAcentral's name for it is "partial 28S ribosomal RNA". Lineage: Eukaryota; Fungi. RNAcentral also lists the same sequence under 1 other name. The record is from RNAcentral.